GGGCCAUAGCUCAGCUGGGAGAGCGCCUGCUUUGCACGCAGGAGGUCAGGAGUUCGAUCCUCCUUGGCUCACCA
This 74-nucleotide transfer RNA is filed under the name Stutzerimonas stutzeri RCH2. RNAcentral describes it as "Pseudomonas stutzeri RCH2 tRNA-Ala". It matches the Rfam family "tRNA". From Rfam's summary of the family: Transfer RNA (tRNA) molecules are approximately 80 nucleotides in length. Their secondary structure includes four short double-helical elements and three loops (D, anti-codon, and T loops). Further hydrogen bonds mediate the characteristic L-shaped molecular structure. tRNAs have two regions of fundamental functional importance: the anti-codon, which is responsible for specific mRNA codon recognition, and the 3' end, to which the tRNAs corresponding amino acid is attached (by aminoacyl-tRNA synthetases). tRNAs cope with the degeneracy of the genetic code in two manners: having more than one tRNA (with a specific anti-codon) for a particular amino acid; and 'wobble' base-pairing, i.e. permitting non-standard base-pairing at the 3rd anti-codon position. The record is from RNAcentral. Lineage: Bacteria; Pseudomonadati; Pseudomonadota; Gammaproteobacteria; Pseudomonadales; Pseudomonadaceae.